This 714-nucleotide ribosomal RNA is filed under the name uncultured marine bacterium. Its description in RNAcentral is "bacterial SSU rRNA". It matches the Rfam family "Bacterial small subunit ribosomal RNA", at positions 56 to 800 of the family's 1533-position model. The record is from RNAcentral.
UGCAAGUCGAACGGAGGACCGAAGCUUGCUUCGGAUACCUUAGUGGCGAACGGGUGAGUAACACGUGGGAAUCUACCUAAAAAUGGGGAAUAACUAUUGGAAACGAUAGCUAAUACCGCACAAUCCCUUCGGGGUAAAGGCUUCGGCCGUUUUUAGAUGAGCCCGCGCUAGAUUAGGUUGUUGGUAAGGUAAAAGCUUACCAAGCCUGCUAUCUAUAGCUGGUCUGAGAGGAUGAUCAGCCACACUGGGACUGAGACACGGCCCAGACUCCUACGGGAGGCAGCAGUGGGGAAUAUUGGACAAUGGGGGAAACCCUGAUCCAGCAAUGCCGCGUGAGUGAAGAAGGCCUUAGGGUUGUAAAACUCUUUCAGAAGUGAAGAUGAUGACUGUAACUUCAGAAGAAGAUCCGGCUAACUCCGUGCCAGCAGCCGCGGUAAUACGGAGGGAUCUAGCGUUGUUCGAAAUUACUGGGCGUAAAGGGCGCGUAGGCUGUAUAAUUAGUCAGAGGUGAAAUCCCUAAGCUUAACUUAGGAACUGCCUUUGAUACUGUUAUACUAGAGAUCGAGAGAGGUGAGUGGAAUUCCAAGUGUAGAGGUGAAAUUCGUAGAUAUUUGGAAGAACACCAAUGGCGAAAGCGGCUCACUGGCUCGUUUCUGACGCUGAGGCGCGAAAGCGUGGGUAGCAAACAGGAUUAGAUACCCUGGUAGUCCACGC